Molecule: ribosomal RNA, 561 nt
Filed under: uncultured Lachnospiraceae bacterium
Lineage: Bacteria; Bacillati; Bacillota; Clostridia; Lachnospirales; Lachnospiraceae
Description: bacterial SSU rRNA
Rfam family: Bacterial small subunit ribosomal RNA
Source: RNAcentral
UGAAGUUUUCGGAUGGAAGAGAGUCAGCUUAGUGGCGAACGGGUGAGUAACACGUGAGCAACCUGCCUUUCAGUGGGGGACAACAUUUGGAAACGAAUGCUAAUACCGCAUAAGACCACAGUGUCGCAUGGCACAGGGGUCAAAGGAUUUAUCCGCUGAAAGAUGGGCUCGCGUCCGAUUAGCUAGAUGGUGAGGUAACGGCCCACCAUGGCGACGAUCGGUAGCCGGACUGAGAGGUUGAACGGCCACAUUGGGACUGAGACACGGCCCAGACUCCUACGGGAGGCAGCAGUGGGGAAUAUUGCACAAUGGGGGAAACCCUGAUGCAGCGACGCCGCGUGGAGGAAGAAGGUCUUCGGAUUGUAAACUCCUGUCCCAGGGGACGAUAAUGACGGUACCCUGGGAGGAAGCACCGGCUAACUACGUGCCAGCAGCCGCGGUAAAACGUAGGGUGCAAGCGUUGUCCGGAAUUACUGGGUGUAAAGGGAGCGCAGGCGGAUUGGCAAGUUGGGAGUGAAAUCUAUGGGCUCAACCCAUAAAUUGCUUUCAAAACUGUCAGUC